GUGUCAGCAGCCGCGGUAAUACAGAGGGUGCGAGCGUUAAUCGGAUUUACUGGGCGUAAAGCGUGCGUAGGCGGCUUUUUAAGUCGGAUGUGAAAUCCCCGAGCUUGACUUGGGAAUUGCAUUCGAUACUGGGAAGCUAGAGUAUGGGAGAGGAUGGUAGAAUUCCAGGUGUAGCGGUGAAAUGCGUAGAGAUCUGGAGGAAUACCGAUGGCGAAGGCAGCCAUCUGGCCUAAUACUGACGCUGAGGUACGAAAGCAUGGGGAGCAAACAGGAUUAGAUACCCUGGUAGUCCAUGCCGUAAACGAUGUCUACUAGCCGUUGGGGCCUUUGAGGCUUUAGUGGCGCAGCUAACGCGAUAAGUAGACCGCCUGGGGAGUACGGUCGCAAGACUAAAACUCAAAUGAAUUGACGGGGGCCCGCACAAGCGGUGGAGCAUGUGGUUUAAUUCGAUGCAACGCGAAGAACCUUACCUGGCCUUGACAUACUAGAAACUUUCCAGAGAUGGAUUGGUGCCUUCGGGAAUCUAGAUACAGGUACUGCAUGGCUGUCGUCAGCUCGUGUCGUGAGAUGUUGGGUUAAGUCCCGCAACGAGCGCAACCCUUUUCCUUACUUGCCAGCAUUUCGGAUGGGAACUUUAAGGAUACUGCCAGUGACAAACUGGAGGAAGGCGGGGACGACGUCAAGUCAUCAUGGCCCUUACGGCCAGGGCUACACACGUGCUACAAUGGUCGGUACAAAGGGUUGCUACACAGCGAUGUGAUGCUAAUCUCAAAAAGCCGAUCGUAGUCCGGAUUGGAGUCUGCAACUCGACUCCAUGAAGUCGGAAUCGCUAG
This 833-nucleotide ribosomal RNA is filed under the name uncultured bacterium. Its description in RNAcentral is "bacterial SSU rRNA". It matches the Rfam family "Bacterial small subunit ribosomal RNA", at positions 505 to 1338 of the family's 1533-position model. The record is from RNAcentral.